GCAGAAAUGUUGGGCAGAUUAAAUCUUGUUUGUCUGUGUCUCUUUUUCACGUCUCAGUCGCUGAUAAGGUUUGAAAGGCUGCGAGCAAGGGCCCGGGGAUCAGUAAUGUUCAUGAAGAUAAAAUCAAGGACCCGGCUCCCUCUCUGCGUUUUCCAGAAGGACUCGUUCCACACAAAGUCUGAGGAGAAAAAGGGAAAGAAAUCAACAAGUGAUGGAGCAGCACCUGCUUGGCUGAGCUUAAUUCCAAUGCACCGGCUCUGCUCAGCUCCUUGGGGAAUGAAGGAAUGGAAGGAAAGGAGGGAAAAGAAAAAAGCCAGGUUAAGCCCUGCUUUGUUUGAAAAUGAGAGACUCUGGAUUCAUUUCAUUGGGAGCAGAGGAUCACAGACUGGCAAACUUUAAUCUGAUGAAGUUUAAUAGAUCUGCAAAUGAGACCCAGCAAGGUCCAGCUCACGUGAGGCCCUGCUCUGAGGUGUUGGAUUUGGGAGCCUGAUGGAAUAACCGGGGCUGUGCGGGUUGAGGAUCCAGCCAGAACCACAGAGAUGAGGGAAAACUCAUCUUGAGUGGAAUUAAUGCUUUGAAAGCAGUGGAGAUGAGGCUGAAUCAGCUGAGAUUUCAAGCCAGAGGUGUCCAGACAAGGCUCCAUCACUUGCACAUCUUCAAACUGUGCCCAGUGCCUGCUCCAGACCUGAAGUGGAGGAAAACAGCUGGACCAUCAGAAAGCUGAUGGAUUUGGACAGGAGGAAGGUUGUAAGCAGGAAAAAAACCCCUUUACACAGAGCUUUUUAAGCAGAGAAGUCAGGAUUUGAACUCCAUCUCACCUGGGAAAAACCACAGACCCCGUGUAGGGAAAUUCGAAAUAAAACACGCAGGUGCCCAUUGGAGACACAGCAGCACAAACGUUUAUUUCUCACUCAGCAUUCCAGCUGGACACGCACCAGCAGCUGCAAUUUGUCCUGCUGAAAACACAGCAGGGCUUUUUCCAUUCUCUGCUCCCCCCUCUCCCCACCCGGCCACGAAAGUGGGUGGAAGUCAAAACUACUGAGCCAAAAUGUGAUGGAUGUAGAGAAGGAGAGGACGAGCAUUGCAAUUCACCGCAGAGCCCGUGGGUGGGGGCUGUGAUUGCCCACAAGGAAAUUGCCAGGGAUGCAGAUAUUUUGCAGAGCUCCUUAUUUACCUUCUCCUUUACUUUGCAAGUAAAUAAGAGAUUCAAUAAGAGCUGGCAAUUUUGUCCCUCACAGCCUCUGAGCAGCUCUCUAUUUCUGAUGAUGAGCAGUAAUUCCAACGUUUCGCCUCAAAAAAAGCCCCGGAGAGCACACAAACCCUCCCAGCCUUCCACACUUUAUAUUUUCCGAAUGGAAAGGUUUUAUUUUAGUAAGAAAUUACCCUUCAUUUAUGGGAAAAAAGUUUGAUUACUUGGGAAAAAAAAUCCCUGCUGAGCCACAGUGAUGGGUGGUUUUGUAUUGCUGAAAUGCCCCAGGUCUUUUUUGAGGUGUCUUUGGUAUUGAUA
This is a long non-coding RNA of Corvus hawaiiensis (hawaiian crow), 1507 nucleotides long. RefSeq lists it as uncharacterized. The transcript is spliced from 4 exons. Lineage: Eukaryota; Metazoa; Chordata; Aves; Passeriformes; Corvidae. The record is from RefSeq and is a predicted model, not a curated record.